RNAcentral lists this ribosomal RNA (110 nucleotides) under Pogona vitticeps (central bearded dragon). The record is from RNAcentral. Lineage: Eukaryota; Metazoa; Chordata; Lepidosauria; Squamata; Agamidae.
AAUAUAUACCAACCUAAGCGUGCCCAAUCUUGUCUGAUCUUGGAAGAUAAGCAAGGUCCAUUCCAGUUCGUAUCUGGAAGAGAAAUCACUACGAAUUACCAAGGAUCUUC